This 504-nucleotide ribosomal RNA is filed under the name Escherichia coli. Its description in RNAcentral is "bacterial SSU rRNA". It matches the Rfam family "Bacterial small subunit ribosomal RNA", at positions 283 to 779 of the family's 1533-position model. The record is from RNAcentral. RNAcentral also lists the same sequence under 3 other names. Lineage: Bacteria; Pseudomonadati; Pseudomonadota; Gammaproteobacteria; Enterobacterales; Enterobacteriaceae.
CUAGCUGGUCUGAGAGGAUGACCAGCCACACUGGAACUGAGACACGGUCCAGACUCCUACGGGAGGCAGCAGUGGGGAAUAUUGCACAAUGGGCGCAAGCCUGAUGCAGCCAUGCCGCGUGUAUGAAGAAGGCCUUCGGGUUGUAAAGUACUUUCAGCGGGGAGGAAGGGAGUAAAGUUAAUACCUUUGCUCAUUGACGUUACCCGCAGAAGAAGCACCGGCUAACUCCGUGCCAGCAGCCGCGGUAAUACGGAGGGUGCAAGCGUUAAUCGGAAUUACUGGGCGUAAAGCGCACGCAGGCGGUUUGUUAAGUCAGAUGUGAAAUCCCCGGGCUCAACCUGGGAACUGCAUCUGAUACUGGCAAGCUUGAGUCUCGUAGAGGGGGGUAGAAUUCCAGGUGUAGCGGUGAAAUGCGUAGAGAUCUGGAGGAAUACCGGUGGCGAAGGCGGCCCCCUGGACGAAGACUGACGCUCAGGUGCGAAAGCGUGGGGAGCAAACAGGAUU